This 236-nucleotide unclassified non-coding RNA is filed under the name Paraglomus sp. Its description in RNAcentral is "partial contains 5.8S ribosomal RNA and internal transcribed spacer 2". The stretch from base 1 to 65 matches the Rfam family "5.8S ribosomal RNA", at positions 84 to 154 of the family's 154-position model. The record is from RNAcentral. Lineage: Eukaryota; Fungi; Glomeromycota; Glomeromycetes; Paraglomerales; Paraglomeraceae.
GUGAAUCAUCAAAUCUUUGAACGCAAAUUGCGCCUUUUUCGGAAGGCAUGUCUGUUUGAGUGCACCAUUUAGCAAAUAAUGUGCAUCGUUUUUUGUUGCACACGUUGAUGAGCUUUCGAAGUAUUAUAAAUUUUUGGUGGCGCAUAAUGGACAGCGUGAAUUGUUUUUGCAGUUCGAGGGUAUAAAAAUCAUUGCUGGGGUUGUGAAGAAACAUAAUCGCGCAGGGGGGUUGGCAA